RNAcentral lists this ribosomal RNA (403 nucleotides) under uncultured bacterium. Its description in RNAcentral is "partial 16S ribosomal RNA". It matches the Rfam family "Bacterial small subunit ribosomal RNA", at positions 29 to 526 of the family's 1533-position model. The record is from RNAcentral.
AUUGAACGCUGGCGGCAGGCCUAACACAUGCAAGUCGAGCGAGCGGCAGACGGGUGAGUAAUGUAUGGGGACUGCCCGAUAGAGGGGGAUAACAACUGGAAACGGUGGAUAAUACCGCAUACCAUCGGAAAACCCAUAGGGGAUUAGCUAGUAGGUGGGGUAAAGGCUCACCUAGGCGACGAUCUCUAGCUGGUCUGAGAGGAUGCUCAGCCACACUGGAACUGAGACACGGCCCAGACGCCUACGGAGGCAGCAGUGGGGAAUAUUGAACAAUGGGCGCAAGCCGGAUGCAGCCAUGCCGCGUGUAUGAAGAAGGCCUUAGGGUUGUAAAGUACGUUCAGCGGGGAGGCGUUACCCGCAGAAGAAGCACCGGCUAACUCCGUGCCAGCAGCCGCGGUAAUUC